RNAcentral lists this ribosomal RNA (408 nucleotides) under uncultured bacterium. RNAcentral's name for it is "partial 16S ribosomal RNA". It matches the Rfam family "Bacterial small subunit ribosomal RNA", at positions 28 to 526 of the family's 1533-position model. The record is from RNAcentral.
GACGAACGCUGGCGGCGUGCUUAACACAUGCAAGUCGAACGAAGUGGCGAACGGGUGAGUAAUACGUGAGUAACCUGCCCUCCUUUUUGGGAUAAGCCUUGGAAACGGGGUCUAAUACCGAAUAAAGGGGGAUGGGCUCGAGGCCUAUCAGCUUGUUGGUGGGGUAAUGGCCUACCAAGGCGGCGACGGGUAGCCGGACUGAGAGGGUGGAAGGCCACAUUGGGACUGAGACACGGCCCAGACGCCUACGGGGGGCAGCAGUGGGGAAUAUUGCACGAUGGGCGGAAGCAGGAUGCAGCGACGCCGCGUGGGGGAUGACGGCCUUCGGGUUGUAAACUCCUUUCACCAUCGACGCGGUAGAUGGAGAAGAAGCACCGGCUAACUACGUGCCAGCAGCCGCGGUAAUUC